GACGAACGCUGGCGGCGUGCUUAACACAUGCAAGUCGAACGGAAAGGCCCUGCUUUUGUGGGGUGCUCGAGUGGCGAACGGGUGAGUAACACGUGAGUAACCUGCCCUUGACUUUCGGAUAACUUCAGGAAACUGGGGCUAAUACCGGAUAGGAGCUCAUGCUGCAUGGUGGGGGUUGGAAAGUUUCGGCGGUUGGGGAUGGACUCGCGGCUUAUCAGCUUGUUGGUGGGGUAGUCGCUUACCCAGGCGUUGACGGGUAGCCCGCCUGAGAAGGUGACCGGCGGCACAGGGACCUAGGGACGGCAGAGACGGGGACUGGAGGCAACAGGGGGGAAGAUUGCACAAUGCAUGCAAGCCGGAUGCAGCAGCGCCUCGUGUGGUAAAGCGGCUUUGUGGGGAUAAACCAGUUGCACCUUAGACGAACCCUGAUCUACGGGAAUGGAUAAAAAAGACACGGCUUACUACGUU
Molecule: ribosomal RNA, 468 nt
Filed under: uncultured bacterium
Lineage: Bacteria
Description: partial 16S ribosomal RNA
Rfam family: Bacterial small subunit ribosomal RNA
Source: RNAcentral